RNAcentral lists this ribosomal RNA (500 nucleotides) under uncultured bacterium. Its description in RNAcentral is "partial 16S ribosomal RNA". It matches the Rfam family "Bacterial small subunit ribosomal RNA", at positions 29 to 523 of the family's 1533-position model. The record is from RNAcentral.
AACGAACGCUGGCGGCGUGCCUAACACAUGCAAGUCGAACGAGAAAGCCCGCAAGGGUGAGUAGAGUGGCGCACGGGUGAGUAAUAAAUAGGAAUGUACCUAUGGGUGGGGGAUAACCAAGGGAAACUUUGGCUAAUACCGCAUGUUAUCGAGAGAUAAAAGGUGGCGUCGGGCAACCGAGCUUUCGCCGAUAGAGCAGCCUAUUUCCCAUUAGCUAGUUGGUGGGGUAAAGGCCUACCAAGCCGACGAUCUGUAGCUGGUCUGAGAGGACGACCAGCCACACUGGGACUGAGACACGGCCCAGACUCCGACGGGAGGCAGCAGUGGGGAAUUUUGGACAAUGGGCGCAAGCCUGAUCCAGCCAUUCCGCGUGCAGGAUGAAGGCCCUCGGGUUGUAAACUGCUUUUGUACGGAACGAAACGGUGCUGGUUAAUACCCGGCGCUAAUGACGGUACUCGCAGAAUAAGCACCGGCUAACUACGUGCCAGCCGCCGCCGUAA